RNAcentral lists this ribosomal RNA (253 nucleotides) under uncultured bacterium. Its description in RNAcentral is "partial 16S ribosomal RNA". It matches the Rfam family "Bacterial small subunit ribosomal RNA", at positions 524 to 776 of the family's 1533-position model. The record is from RNAcentral.
UACGUAGGGUGCGAGCGUUGUCCGGAAUUACUGGGUGUAAAGGGUGCGCGGGCGGAUUCGCACGUCGAAGGUUAAAGACCUUGGCUUAACCAAGGAGAUGCCCUCGAUACGGUGAGUCUUGAAUGUGAGAGAGGAUGGUAGAAUUCCUGGUGUAGCGGUGAAAUGCGUAGAUAUCAGGAGGAAUACCGGUGGCGAAGGCGGCCAUCUGGCUCAUUAUUGACGCUUAGGCACGAAAGCGUGGGGAGCGAACAGG